Molecule: long non-coding RNA, 2076 nt
Filed under: Anthonomus grandis grandis
Lineage: Eukaryota; Metazoa; Arthropoda; Insecta; Coleoptera; Curculionidae
Description: uncharacterized LOC126740256
Source: RNAcentral
AUGGAAUCCCUCAGCCUACAGGGCAACAGCAUACGUUAAAAUACAAAUAUGCCCAGCCAAUCAGAGAAAUUGAGAGUGGAGCAGCACUGAUGAUCCUUUCGUGAAAGUUCGUACGUCGAAUUUCGUUGCCGAUUAGCUACGGAAAUUGAAAAUCAAGGCAUUGGUUUUGUUUAACUCAUAGAGAAAUAAAUAUUAAAUUUUAAUUAUACUUUUAAUUACUCUAUGGUUUAACUUAACCUAUAUUGCAGAUUUUAUUUGCUUUGCUUGCUUCCUAAUAAUUGAUUUAAUUAUCAACAAUUAUAUCAACUUUGCGACUAUUUGAGUGAAAAUUCAUAGUAUAUAGUGUUGAGUGUUUACUCCAUUAUCUAUACAAUCCAUAUCUGUGCUGGUUUUGGGCUCAAAAACAAACAAUUUAGUGUUUGAGUUUCAUUACCUUUCAAUAAACUUGCCAGUGUUUCUUAGUGCAUAAUUUCCUUCCACUUAAACCAAUAUUUGCACUUAUUUGUUGCUGUCUGUUAGACAAAUAUGGCAUCACUAAGUCAACAAAAUGCAAUCUGUGAAGUUUGUAAUAAGGAAUUUUCAAGCACAUCUACCAGAAACAGGCAUUGGAAAAAGUUUUACCCUGAAUUUGUUGUGAAGGAACAAAUAAAACACAUUAUAUGUCCAAUGUGUACUAAUGAUAUCCAGACAUUUUCAUAUUUUAACUGUUUAAACAAACAUUUGCUUGAUAUUCACCAUAUAACUGUCAAAGAAUCAAUUUUAAAUUUUAGGCACGAGAUAAUAGGGAAGUAGAUUAUGCUUGUCAGACCCGAAACAAGUUUAAGAAUGGGGAAGAACACAUAUUUUACAAUUGCAACAGGAGUGAUAUCAGGAUUUAAUAGCGCGUGCAAAGUGAGAAGUCUGGGGGAAGCAUUCGCAUUUAAGGAACAUGUCAACAAGACCAAACUCAAAUAGCUAUCAGCAUAAAAUUGUAAUAGAAGCCCAUAACAAAGCCGAAAAAAUGAAUGGUAAGGUAGAAUUUUUGGAAUUUGGAAAAUUUAAAGUACAAAGUGUUUUGGUAAGUGGUAAGUUCUAUGUUGUGUCUUGUAAUAAACUAUGUGAUGAGCAAUGUCGCACUGGAUACUGUAACAUCUGUAAAAUAUGUUUUCAUAAAUACAGAUGUGAGUGUCCAGAAAAUUCUGUCUAAACAGUACUUUGUAAACAUAUACAUGCUGUAGCCAUUUUUGAGCAGAGGAGCGAGUUUGUUGUAGGUUCCCCAACUGUGAGUGAAGAGGAAGAGGAUAAUGUUUUGUUUGUUGAUCAACCCACAACUAGCCAAAUCAAUUAUCAGGAGGAUGUAAACCAUUUUAUUCAGGAGAGUUCAAAAAUGAAAGUCAAUAGUUCUGCAAUGGACUUUGAAGAAAAUCGAGAAGUAGUUUGAGUAAAAUAUAAGUUACAUUUUUAUUACAUCGUUUAUACUUAUUUUAAGAUUGCAUUGCAAGAGAUUUGUAGCUAUGGUAGAAGUUUAGAUAAAAAUGCAUUUGCCAGAUUUAUGGCUGUAAUCAACAAAUUUAAAAAUAAAGAAGUGGAGGAAGAAAAUUCUCAGGGCAUUGAAAAGAAAAGAAAAAUUGAAAAACAAAUGUACUAUCCAAAUAAAAAAUAAGCUAGAUUUCUUUGUGUAUUUAAUGGCUAGGGUGCAGAAAAGCUAAUUGGAUUAACUUGAAAUUGGCAUCGAACGAGGGGGAAGGUCCUCUAUGAGUAUAUAUUUAUGAAUUAAAAUGUAUACAGAGCAGUAAUUUUUUUCCAUGUUACUAUUGUAUGGAAGUUUGAAUGGUUUGGGCUGUAUAUACAUGACGAGCCGAGAUGACAAAUAAGCUAAAGAAGUGCGAGUCUACAUACUACAUACUAUAUACCAGAUUAAUACAUUUAGCCUCUUUGCAUUUAAUUUUGAGGUUGUUGAUAUUAAAAAUACCAUAAAUUAUUAUAUUUAAAUAACAAAUAAAUUUAUAGAUUUUUUAUUAUUUGAAAUAAACAAAGUUAAAAUAUAAUUUCUACGUUUUUUUUUGUUUUCUGUUCUUAUACUUUGACUUUUUAGUC